UUAGAGAGAUGUUUCUGUUUGAUAAAGCUA
RNAcentral lists this non-coding RNA (30 nucleotides) under Rattus norvegicus (Norway rat). Lineage: Eukaryota; Metazoa; Chordata; Mammalia; Rodentia; Muridae. The record is from RNAcentral.